UACGGAGGUGGCAAGCGUUGCUCGGAAUCACUGGGCGUAAAGGGCGCGUAGGCGGGGAGGUAAGUCGGGUGUGAAAUCCCUCGGCCCAACCGAGGAACUGCGCCCGAGACUGCCUCUCUUGAGUCCCGGAGAGGAAGAUGGAAUUCCCGGUGUAGCGGUGAAAUGUGUAGAGAUCGGGAGGAACACCGGUGGCGAAGGCGGUCUUCUGGACGGUGACUGACGCUGAGGCGCGAAAGCGUGGGGAGCAAACGGG
This 253-nucleotide ribosomal RNA is filed under the name uncultured bacterium. RNAcentral describes it as "partial 16S ribosomal RNA". It matches the Rfam family "Bacterial small subunit ribosomal RNA", at positions 524 to 776 of the family's 1533-position model. The record is from RNAcentral.